Molecule: ribosomal RNA, 635 nt
Filed under: Bacillus subtilis
Lineage: Bacteria; Bacillati; Bacillota; Bacilli; Caryophanales; Bacillaceae
Description: bacterial SSU rRNA
Rfam family: Bacterial small subunit ribosomal RNA
Source: RNAcentral
CCCUAUACAUGCAAGUCGAGCGAAUGGAUUAAGAGCUUGCUCUUAUGAAGUUAGCGGCGGACGGGUGAGUAACACGUGGGUAACCUGCCCAUAAGACUGGGAUAACUCCGGGAAACCGGGGCUAAUACCGGAUAACAUUUUGAACCGCAUGGUUCGAAAUUGAAAGGCGGCUUCGGCUGUCACUUAUGGAUGGACCCGCGUCGCAUUAGCUAGUUGGUGAGGUAACGGCUCACCAAGGCAACGAUGCGUAGCCGACCUGAGAGGGUGAUCGGCCACACUGGGACUGAGACACGGCCCAGACUCCUACGGGAGGCAGCAGUAGGGAAUCUUCCGCAAUGGACGAAAGUCUGACGGAGCAACGCCGCGUGAGUGAUGAAGGCUUUCGGGUCGUAAAACUCUGUUGUUAGGGAAGAACAAGUGCUAGUUGAAUAAGCUGGCACCUUGACGGUACCUAACCAGAAAGCCACGGCUAACUACGUGCCAGCAGCCGCGGUAAUACGUAGGUGGCAAGCGUUAUCCGGAAUUAUUGGGCGUAAAGCGCGCGCAGGUGGUUUCUUAAGUCUGAUGUGAAAGCCCACGGCUCAACCGUGGAGGGUCAUUGGAAACUGGGAGACUUGAGUGCAGAAGAGGAAAGU